RNAcentral lists this ribosomal RNA (492 nucleotides) under uncultured bacterium. Its description in RNAcentral is "partial 16S ribosomal RNA". It matches the Rfam family "Bacterial small subunit ribosomal RNA", at positions 29 to 507 of the family's 1533-position model. The record is from RNAcentral.
AGUGAACGCUGGCGGUAGGCCUAACACAUGCAAGUCGAACGGCAGCACAGUAAGAGCUUGCUCUUACGGUUGGCGAGUGGCGGAUGGGUGAGGAAUACAUCGGAAUCUACUUUUUCGUGGGGGAUAACGUAGGGAAACUUACGCUAAUACCGCAUACGACCUACGGGUGAAAGCAGGGGAUCUUCGGACCUUGCGCGAAUGAAUGAGCCGAUGUCGGAUUAGCUAGUUGGCGGGGUAAAGGCCCACCAAGGCGACGAUCCGUAGCUGGUCUGAGAGGAUGAUCCGCCACACUGGAACUGAGACACGGUCCAGACUCCUACGGGAGGCAGCAGUGGGGAAUAUUGGACAAUGGGCGCAAGCCUGAUCCAGCCAUACCGCGUGGGUGAAGAAGGCCUUCGGGUUGUAAAGCCCUUUUGUUGGGAAAGAAAAGCAGCAGGUUAAUACCCCGCUGUUCUGACGGUACCCAAAGAAUAAGCACCGGCUAACUUCGUG